Molecule: long non-coding RNA, 507 nt
Filed under: Brachypodium distachyon (stiff brome)
Lineage: Eukaryota; Viridiplantae; Streptophyta; Magnoliopsida; Poales; Poaceae
Description: long non-coding RNA (BDIS_LNC004195)
Source: RNAcentral
ACGUAAUAUUUUGACAUUUAAUAUGGGACGGAGGGAGCAGGUGAUGUGCUGUUGGAAGCAGAUUAUGGAACAAAAAUUCAGGUUUUAGUUUCUAGAUUUCCUUUUUCAACAUAGAGUGCAAAAGUUAUUUUUUUCCUUCAAAAUUUUAGAUGUACAGAAAGGGGACACGAAUACGCGCAUGAGUAAUUCUUUUACAUUGACAUUUUCUUUACUUUUUUUUUCAGGUACGGUAGACAUUUUCUUUACUUGAGAGCGCGUGCUCAUGGGUGCAGAUUUUUGAAUUACCCUGUUAUAUGGGUGCCCAAAUUGCUAGUGAAUGACACGAGAAAUUCUAAAGUUUUUCUUUUGUAUGCAUAUAAGUUUUCUGGAAGAAAUAGUUAAGCCUUUGGCAAAAAAAGAAAACUCAGUGCUCUAAAAGCAGUUCUUAAGUACUCCGUACUAGAUUUACUUAUAGUGCAAAAAAAAAUCUCAAAAAAUUUAGGUGUAGAGAAAGGGGACACCGACAGG